This 1379-nucleotide ribosomal RNA is filed under the name Candidatus Phytoplasma citri. RNAcentral describes it as "bacterial SSU rRNA". It matches the Rfam family "Bacterial small subunit ribosomal RNA", at positions 235 to 1533 of the family's 1533-position model. Lineage: Bacteria; Bacillati; Mycoplasmatota; Mollicutes; Acholeplasmatales; Acholeplasmataceae. The record is from RNAcentral.
GCCAUAUUAGUUAGUUGGUAGGGUAAUGGCCUACCAAGACGAUGAUGUGUAGCUGGACUGAGAGGUUGAACAGCCACAUUGGGACUGAGACACGGCCCAAACUCCUACGGGAGGCAGCAGUAGGGAAUUUUCGGCAAUGGAGGAAACUCUGACCGAGCAACGCCGCGUGAAUGACGAAGUACUUCGGUAUGUAAAGUUCUUUUAUCGAGGAAGAAAAGCAAAUGGCGAACCAUUUGUUUGCCGGUACUUGAUGAAUAAGCCCCGGCUAAUUAUGUGCCAGCAGCCGCGGUAAGACAUAAGGGGCAAGUGUUAUCCGGAAUUAUUGGGCGUAAAGGGUGCGUAGGCGGUCUAGUAAGUCAGUGGUGUAAUGGCAACGCUUAACGUUGUCCGGCUAUUGAAACUGCUAAACUUGAGUUAGAUAGAGGCGAGUGGAAUUCCAUGUGUGGCGGUAAAAUGCGUAAAUAUAUGGAGGAACACCAGAGGCGUAGGCGGCUCGCUGGGUCUUAACUGACGCUGAGGCACGAAAGCGUGGGGAGCAAACAGGAUUAGAUACCCUGGUAGUCCACGCCGUAAACGAUGAGUACUAAGUGUCGGGUUAAACCGGUACUGAAGUUAACACAUUAAGUACUCCGCCUGAGUAGUACGUACGCAAGUAUGAAACUUAAAGGAAUUGACGGGACUCCGCACAAGCGGUGGAUCAUGUUGUUUAAUUCGAAGAUACCCGAAAAACCUUACCAGGUCUUGACAUGUUUUUGCAAAAUGAUAGUAAUAUCGUGGAGGUUACCAGAAACACAGGUGGUGCAUGGUUGUCGUCAGCUCGUGUCGUGAGAUGUUAGGUUAAGUCCUAAAACGAGCGAAACCCUUAUCGUUAGUUGCCAGCACGUUAUGGUGGGGACUUUAACGAGACUGCCAAUGAUAAAUUGGAGGAAGGUGAGGAUCACGUCAAAUCAGCAUGCCCCUUAUGACCUGGGCUACAAACGUGAUACAAUGGCUGUUACAAAGGGUAGCUGAAACGCAAGUUCUUGGCCAAUCCCCAAAAACAGUCCCAGUCCGGAUUGAAGUCUGCAACUCGACUUCAUGAAGUUGGAAUCGCUAGUAAUCGCGAAUCAGCAUGUCGCGGUGAAUACGUUCUCGGGGUUUGUACACACCGCCCGUCAAACCACGAAAGUUGGCAAUACCCCAAAACGGUAGCCUAACUCGUUUAUUCGAGAGGGCGCCGUCUAAGGUAGGGUCGAUGAUUGAGGUUAAGUCAUAACAAGGUAUCCCUACCGGAAGGUGGGGAUGGAUCACCUCCUUUCUAAGGAAACCAAUAAAAUCAAUCAUCUUCAGUUUUGAAAGACUUAGGCAACUAAGUUUUUCUUCGUGACUUCACGAAGGGC